Oryctolagus cuniculus (rabbit) is the source of this 92-nucleotide small nuclear RNA. The record is from Ensembl. Lineage: Eukaryota; Metazoa; Chordata; Mammalia; Lagomorpha; Leporidae.
GUGUUCACUUCAGCAGCAUGUUAACUAAAAUUGUAAGAAUACAAAGAAGAUGAGCAUGGCCCUUAUGCAAGGAUGGAGUGUUGCAUAUUUUU